UACAGAGGGUGCAAACGUUGUUCGGAAUUACUGGGCGUAAAGCGAGUGUAGGCGGUUUGGUAAGUCGGAUGUGAAAGCCCCGGGCUCAACCCGGGAAGUGCACUCGAUACUGCCAAGCUAGAGUAUCGGAGAGGUUGGUGGAAUUCUCGGUGUAGAGGUGAAAUUCGUAGAUAUCGAGAGGAACACCGGUGGCGAAGGCGGCCAACUGGACGAAUACUGACGCUGAGACUCGAAAGCGUGGGGAGCAAACAGG
RNAcentral lists this ribosomal RNA (253 nucleotides) under uncultured bacterium. RNAcentral describes it as "partial 16S ribosomal RNA". It matches the Rfam family "Bacterial small subunit ribosomal RNA", at positions 524 to 776 of the family's 1533-position model. The record is from RNAcentral.